Molecule: transfer RNA, 64 nt
Filed under: Gongylus gongylodes
Lineage: Eukaryota; Metazoa; Arthropoda; Insecta; Mantodea; Empusidae
Description: tRNA-Ile
Source: RNAcentral
AGUGAAAUGCCUGAUUAAAGGAUUAUCAUGAUAGGAUAAAUAAUGUAAAUUAUUACUUUCACUA